Long non-coding RNA from Acanthochromis polyacanthus (spiny chromis), 9902 nucleotides. RefSeq lists it as uncharacterized. Lineage: Eukaryota; Metazoa; Chordata; Actinopteri; Pomacentridae. The record is from RefSeq and is a predicted model, not a curated record. The transcript has 2 exons.
UCGAUGGCUAGUUUACAGCAUCAUGCGUGCAGUUAUGGCUCUGUGACAUCAAAGCUACUUUAAAGUCAGUAACGUGUAGAUGUCGUUUAAAAAAUGUUUAACAAGGUAAUUGUGGAACCCGAAGAAUAUAUUAGAUUCAAAACAUUACUCCAAGCAGAGUAAUUUUAAAUGUCUGAAAACUCUUCUGGAAAGUGAUCCAUAGAAAGAAAACAAUAUAACUUCACACAAACCCUAGAAGUUUGGGCCCCACUUCUGCCAACAGGUCCCAGUGUGGUCUCUUAGCAACAUCUUAAAGCAGUUGUUGCACCAUAAAGUGACACUCUUUCCCAAGUGAAAUGACACUUCCAGGGUUAAUAGUUGAACUGCUAGAGCGGGCCUGACAGAGUUAGUCCAUCACAGGAGCUCCAGGAGACUCUCUCUAUUCUCUUUACUGUUCUGUAUUCUUUCCCCUGCAUUCUGUUCACCGUUUAACACUUCCUUCAAAGUCACUGAGAAGGGAGACUACAGUGAGUUAGCAAAUUCAUUAGCCAAUUAGCUUAGCUUGGUCACUUCUGGGAAUUGUACCAUCAUUACUGUGUCUGCAAACACUGCUCUUUUUGUGAAGCAGUCUUUAUACCAGCUGAGGUGUUAAAAUAGGAGCGAAAUAUAGCAACAUAGUAAAUCAGCUUCCCUCAAAGGUAGCACUUUAAAGGCGAGACCAUAGUCAGGCUUACCAUUCUCAAGUGGACCCAUUAGAAUUAAUCUGUUUUCCUGUAGAAAGCAAAUCAGAUAGUUGAAAAGACAGAGUAAGAUUUUUUCCAUUUAAAUCCUAGUGUGACCUAAUCGUAUUGUCUAACUGAUAAAAUUCUACCACAACUCUCCACUCUGCAGCCUGUUAAACUUGACUCUGGUAUUUCAAUCCAAUACAGAAGACAGCAAAGAACAGCAAGAGGAGAGGUGACACACUCAUGUAGAUGUGAUUAAAUGUAAUAUCUAAAUCUCUAUUGUUAGUGAAAGCAACGCUAUCCAAAGUGUGCGUUUGUUUGGAUGAAAAUGAGCUCCAAAUGACAGAUUAGAAGCCGAUAGGAGACCGUCUCUGUCAAUCAUCAUCUUACAACUGAACAAAAUGCUAAAUGUUAUGAAACAUGCUGGUGUUGGUGAUGUACAAGAGAGGGCAUCUCAUUUUGGAAGGAACUCCGUGACAGUCGGUUUCCUCCUUAUGCUCUUUUUUGACUUCUCUCAGUCUUUAUCUGACACUUGUGAAAUAAGGGUAUUCCAACUUGUCUGUGAAUCCCGUGACAUCUGCUAUUACGCAUUUCAGAGGGUUGUCUUUGGCGAUUUAUUUGCAGGUUUGGAAAAUGAAUUUAACAUCACCGGAUUAGAAAGCAUAGGAUUUAUUAUAUCCAUCACCAUAGCAGUGAGUGACACUAAGCUGUCUUUCAAGCAUCCAAAUGAUACUCUCAAAUUUAAUGAGAUCUUAAGCCCUGCCAACAUAUAAUUAAAAACGUUGACACAGAGGAAUAAGAAAGCAAAGAUGUCUCCCAGGACUCUGCAGUGAACUUCGAGCCACAACACUUAGCAAGAACUAUUCAUUAAAUACAUAAACUGUGGAAGCACAGUAGCAGGCUAUCCAUUAUUUGCUGCCAUCUUGCAACUGUUUGAAGAUGUCUUUAGUUCUGUUCCAUUCUCAUGAGUGGAUAUCUAUUAUAUUUAACCCUUGAAUCCUCUGUUUUUAUCCCUAUGCUGUGUUUUAAUCUUUUUUGAUGGGCAAGAACUGAAGUGCAAGAUACAAAGCGACACUCUCUCCUAUUGGUACUUUAGCCUGUAAAAGGCUUUCUUAUGUAGCUGAUAUACUAAAAAAAAAGAAUCCAAGUACCAUGAUCUCUCACCCUGUAUCCUUUAAAAUAGUUUCUUUGCCUGCUUCUGUCAAAAGAUCUAAGGCAGUGGCAUUUUCCUAAAAGCCGUCUGCUCCCAGCAGGUGAGGGUGAUGACAGGGUCUGGUGGCAGGCCAAAGCCUGGCUGGCACGUGUUGUGCCUUCACCCAGUCGCUUCCUGCCAUCGCGAGCAUAUGGGUGGAGACGCUGCUAUCCAUUGGCUCUUUCCCAACAAUCUAUCACCUUUGCCCACAUACAAACAAAGACCAUACUGGACUGGAACACAAAUCAGUGUUUUGCUCGUGUGACCCUAUUGCAUAAACCUGUUAGAACAACCACUGAUGCAUAAUGAUGCCUCAGAGUCUAGUUUGUUUUCAGUGUCUAUACAGAUAGUUUUUUGAAGUUGCUGACUUUUUUGGCAUUCAUUGCAGUUGCACUGUGCAUUUAUGUUGUGCUGAAACUUUAGCAGGCUGUCCAACUUGUGAAGUUGGCUUCAGAAAUGAUUAAUUAGAGUCCUUGAACUUGGACGAUGGUCCUGCAAACAGAUCUUUCCGUUCUCUCAAUGCCAUGUUUUUCUCACUUACACUUGCACCGAGGAAGCAAUGAUACACAAAAGCUGGCUUGGUGUCUUCGCAACUGUCGCCCUGAAUAUUUAUUAUGACGCAGGCUGCAAAAACAACAUAUGGUGUAGGCAUUUUUACUGGACUUGCCAUUCAAGGUGAUUGGAAGUCUUUGCAGUGUUAUCUCUGGUGCACUUUUGCCUGUACAAAGCCUUUUCACCUUUGUGUUGUAGCCGAUUAAACCCAGAUAAUAAUAGAAGCAAGAAGUGGAAAAACCAACCCCCACCCCCCAGAAGCCCUUGCUGGACUUGCAGUCUCUCUUACACUUUCAGGAGCUGUCGCUUUGAAUCGGCAGAAGGCAGCCAGGCUGAAGAUUUCCCACUGACUGGAGAGGAGUCGUUGGCCAGGCUUUCCUUGUCACUGGGAGUUAAGGCAGUCACUGAUCCUAAUGCUUACACUGUUGUUGCAGCAUUCCAAUUUUUAAUCACUGCAUGACUUGUCAGACUUAAUGAGGGCAGUCGGGUAAGAAUGAUCAACAUACCAAUAAUGAGAACAUCACAGGCUGACAAUGACUCCCGGUUUUAAAUAUAUAUCCAGGAUAGUGUGCAGCCAGAAGCACAGAAAAACAUAUCGAGCGAGCUGUAAACGACGGUGCAGCCGGUUUCCUGCAGGAUGAUUGGUUGCUAAGGUGACUGCGAACACUGCAGCCAUCUUAUGCAAUCAUAGCUCUUUACAUCAACCUAGCCAACAAAAACUCUAGUGGGCUCACCUUUUCCACAAAUUACACAGAUGUGAAGGGGGGAAAAAAAACAUCCAUAGCAUUAAAUGCGAGCCAAAGGUAGACUUGAUUUACAGCCUGCAAAUGUAAAUGAGAUGCAGGUUUGGUCUGUAUUCCGAACAUCUGCAAAAGUCUUAAGACAAAACUUUACCCUCUGUGUGUAGGUGUGUGAGCAGGCAGGUGUGUGUGUGUAUAUGUAAAGAAAUCUUAGCCAAGGCCGAGCGUGGCUGGCGUGUGUUCUGUCAGAUGUCUCUGCCCCUCUUUAAUCCUUUGUGUGCAGGAGGGUCAAGAGGCAAGCAGACUCCGACUGUAGUAGCUGGAGGAAACGGUGAAGACGAGAGACUCUCCACCUUUAGUCCAUCAUCUCGAGCAGAUCAAGGCUUUGAAAAAUACUAAAGAGGAAGGAGUAGCUUAUGGAAUGACAAAACAAGAUGAGGUUCGACCAUUUAUAGGCAUGUCAGCAAUGCAUAUAUUGCUGUUUUGUGUGAUAAAACUAUUAUUUUGUGCAGAUUUGAAUCAUAAGUUGUGCAAAGAUUUAUUACCAUGCAUCUCACAGUACUACGAAGACGAAAAAAGCUGCAAAUUCACAACUUUUGUGGCAUUUUAUAACUGCAGUGCUUAAUAAAUGAUUUCAAAAAAGUAGAUGCAGUUGCUGAAUAAUUGCAGCAUUGCAGUUUACAUUUAAUGCAAAAAUAUAACCUACAUAAAUGAAGAAAAGUGAAGAUUAUUAUCUAGGGGAAGGGUGAGAUCAUACAGUUUAUUAUAGUUUACAUUGGGUUAUUUGCUUUUCCAGCACGAGGCUCUUAAAGAGUGAAAUGCCAAAUACCAGCAAUAAUAAUAGCAAUUUUAAGGGACCCAGUAGGGGUUAAAGGUCGACUAGGGGCGCCAGUGUGUUGCUGUCUCUUUUAUUAAUAAACAACAUUCAUUAAAGAAGAACUGGGGAGCACCCUAACAGAAUAUUACCACAUCUUUCCCCUUCCUUUGUGUGAUAAGAAGAACCCUGGUGAUUUCUCACAUGGCUGCAAAAAAGCUACAGGGGAAUUUCUCUCAGAAGCUGCCCCUUCAGCUCAAUUCCUCCCCACAUUUCCGAAAGCUUUUCAUUCGUAUCCCCUGGAAACCGCUCCACAUUCUUUAAACUCUCCGUCUUUUUUCUUUUUUUUUUUUCUUGAAGAAGAAGCAGAAGAGGAGGGGAAAAAAGGCCCUUACACGUUUUGUUAUGCCCUUUGAUCACACGUUUAUCUUUAAAACAGAUGGCUGACCACCGUCCUGUUUAGAUCAACACACGCAUUUUUUGAAAGAGGCGGCCAGAAAUUGGGUUUAGCAUCACUUGAAAUCUAUGAAUCCCAAAUCAUACAAAUAAAGCCUCAUCUAUUCUCACCAAAGCUUUAAAGAAAAAAAGCCUAACUAGCUCCCCCAUCCCCCAUAAUAUCCAUGUCUGCAGCCUAGAGCUUUACUUCCUAUUUCUAAGUCAGUUCCUUACAAAAGAUAAUCUACUAAUGUGAUUACUGUUCAAUUACUGUUGUAUAAAUCAGAGAAUUAUGUAUACACACACACAGUGGCUGAAAUCAUCUGCAGUAAUUUGCACCAGGUUGCAGGUACUGAAAAGUGUGAAGAGCUUUAUUUAGUGGUGAAUAUAAGAUGUGACAUGUAAUUGUGUCUUAAUAAAGCAGCAAAGCAAAGUGCAUAUGAGGGGUUUCAAAUGAACGUUUAAUCUUUCAAUCCAUAUUUAUCUGAGGAGUCAAGAAUGCUUCUGCUAGGAGGCUACUGUACAUCAAACAGCUGUCAGAUGUCCACAGAGGCUUUCAAGUGAACUGACAUGCUCUUUUAUGUACUGUGGUCAUUUAUGUUUUCAAAAUUGCAUUAGCUUUUGUCGGCGCUGAGCUCUUUGCCGGUGCGAUUAUUUUUUUUUUAACCGCUGCUAAAGUUCAUACCGGCUUAAUCACAUUCAAUUAGUAACAUUGUGAUUUCUGACCUGGUGUCACAGCUGGGGGAAAUGUAUUGUUUUGUUGCAUUUGAACAAUCUCAAUCUCAUUUUUUUUUAUACAUUACCAUCAAUUAGAAAUUGAAAUAAUCACAGGUCACCUUCGAAACUAUGUUUUUUCAGUAACAACAGGUUAGCAACCCCUCAUUAGUCGAUGAGUCGGAUGCAUUUACGAGGUCAUUUCUCUGGGACACGAGGUUAUGAUGAUGAAUGGUAGCAAACCACUGCCGAGACGCUCUUUUUCCCAUGUCGCCGUGCUGGUUGCUAUGGUGGACAUGAGGGCAAUUUAAGCGUCACCAUAUCCACCAGGGGGGCGCCCUCUUGGGUAAGUGGCUUUGCAAUAGAAAGCUGACGCCUGCCACUGCCAUCAAGGUUGUUGUCACAGGCGGCUCUUUAAGCACCGAGUCGCCAUGUUAAGAGAUGAAGGUUGCCGUGAAAGAGUGACGGCGAGGACAAGAAUUACAGGGGGAUAGGCGCCGGGGAACGAGUUCUCAGAAUGUUGCUUACACGAGAACAUGCAGGAAUAUUACCUAAUCAGUCAAAUCCUCCCAAGCUGACACCUCUUCUGAGACACCCGAUGAUACCCCCACUGAACUCCGGUGCCCCCCACCCGUGGCUCAGCCAUGAGGGAGCCCCCAAGAGAGAAUCUGUGGUUUUGGAGCUUCUUCUUGACAGACACUCAAAAUUGCUCCAAUGGUUUUGCAUACAGUGCAGUAUCCAUCUACCGGGGGCACUUUACCCUCAAUUAAAAGUGUACCGGUGAAGCUGCAUAUUUUGCAUUUCGUAACAAUGUGUGUGCUAAACUGAAGGUGAUCUUAAUAGGAUUUUCUGCGGUUGGGAACCAGAGAUUAGGAGCUUUAUAUUGCAGUGCUCGAGCAUCUGAACAGGGGAGUGUUUUAAUCUGAACCGCAUUAAAAAAAAUGCCAGACUGGAAAAGUUAAAGGACAAGACAUCAAAAAGAAGUGCCCAUUACCUCUUCGUUUUAAAGGUGUGAGUUAGCACAUUACAUGUUAAUAUCUGCUGGAGCUAAAAGUGCAGGAAGCUUUUUCAUCCUUUUCAAAAUUAAUGUCCAUUUAAACCGCAGUCUUAAUUUUGUCACUUUAAUUCUUGGUUAGAAUGUAACUAAGCCAUUUUUAACAUACAUCUGAAACUUGUUUUUUUGGUUCUAUUAUGCUAACAGAAAGUUAAUUCAGUCCAUACAGUAAUUGAACUUUCUGCAACACACAGAGCGACACACACACACACCACAUAUAUAUGCGAGCAAAUUGUAUGCUAAUGACUGACCAGAAAACGUAAAAGGAAAGCACAGGGAUGUGGUCGACCUACAGCUGUUAAAUAUAUAAUCCAUCUGUAAUCAAAUUUGACAGUUAAUCAAGUGAGGCAUUUGUAAUGCAGACAUUUGGACAGACAUAACUAACUCCAUCAGCGUUUGCAUAAUAAAUGUAUGAUUUUAAUGAUGUUUCUAUUAAGCCUCGUCGCUCACUUUACAAAUGAUUUGAGGUGUCUGCUGUUUAUUUGUUUUUCGGGGGUCUAUAGAUUGUUGCUAGGAGCAAUAAUUAUGAUGGGGUGUGAGGUGGAGGGGGUCAGCAGAGUUGGAAUUCAAGGGAAAAAAUGUAAUUACUUAAAGAUUGGUUGAAUUAAUUUCUAAUGAUAUUCACUUGUUUUGCAUGACAGCUGCCAAGACCCAUUCAAGAAUGGCGGAGAGUAAAGGAGUCCUUUUAAUGGCACACAAUGGGGACUAUCAUUUACAGAACACGGGUUUCACCAAACCAAGAGGGAAGAGGGUGCAAGUGACACAUCAACAAAACAUAGUGGGCUUCCUCUAUGGGCUCCUGACACCCACAAAGGCUGGGACAUGUGUUCCAUCUCUUCAAGCUGAAAGAGAGAAGACCCAGCCUCUAAAGUGCCGAUUGUUCCUCCUACGUCUGCAUGUGAGAGUGUAUGACCGAAAACAAAUAUGGUCCUCGUGGGUUUUAAUGCACAUGUGCAUUUUGUGUAAACAUGUGCAUGCUGUAAAUACUACAGCAUGUGCAUAAAGACUGUGAAACUUUGUUUAAAACAUGCACAUGCAAAGAAAGUACAUAUGAAAUAUGGACACAUAAGGUUGAUAUUUCUUUUUUUGGACAACUGUGUAUUUUUAAAUUUAAGAACAUGUUUAUAUAGUAAAACUAACUUCUAGGUGAAGAUUUUCCCAUGAUACCUAAUGCAUAUAUCACAAAUUCUGACAUUUGAUACAAAAGGCAGUGUAAGAAAUUUAUAUUUCACAGUAAUGCAAUAAGAAAUUGUUGCUAUAGCUCACUUAUCUUUCAGUCAAGUUGCCUGGAUUUGAUCCAUCUGCAGCAUAUAGUAAUGUCCUUCUACAUGUGAGUGAUGUAGUAGAAGGAAUAGACUAAUUCUUUAAGAAGUCAGAGUUAAAGUGAUUGGUGGCAGUGCAUUGCAGCAGCUUUUCUUUUCCACAAAUGAUUCAUGGUGGUUAAAUGCUUAUUUUUUUCAUUCCCACAUACAUGCUUCAUUGUAACUGAGGCCUGUUUUUGUUCCCUAUUGUGGCCAUUACAGACACUGAUUUCUUUGUCCCGUUGUGUAGCAAAUUUAAAUGGCGAAACAGAUCUUAAUCUAUCAUUGAAAACACAUCAAACGAAAUGAUUUCAUGUGAAACUUCAGCAAACACCAUAAAAACACAAAAGGCAAGCUCACACAAUUUAGUCUCACAGCUCGAUUUGAAUUGCUGACAAGCCAGUCUGUGGUGUUCUCAAACCAUUACGUUCCCAAGUAUCUCUAGAGUUGACAUUACAUCUUGUUGUGUUUGUUCUAAGGAUUAAAUCCUCAGCAUAUCCACACAGCCCUUCCAGACAUGGAUCACAGACUAUUACACACUACUUCUUCCGGAUGGAUGUUCCUGUAUCUUCCUGAAUAGGAGGAGUGCCACAAAAGGAGGGUCAAGGGCUGUACCGGUUAACCGCUUUGACGAGGUACCCUCCACUGUCUCUUGCCUUGGAGAAAGAACCCAUCGCCUCGUCUCACCGUCAAACUUUAACCUUUCUCAACUUUAAUUACACUAAGUAAGUUUGGAGUGUGCCGCGGUGCUGUCUGGCCGACUCAGCUCCAUCCUCGCGCUGAUGGGAAGCCUGCAUGGGUGCCGCGGCCCCCGCUGCCUCUGACACACUGACGCUACACAGCACUGACGCCGAUGCUGACGCUUUGCUUUGGCCUGCUUCCUGACCAUGCAAACACAGGCGGAUAUACACACACAUUCACCACUAAAAAUCUGCAAGCGUCCAUCGGAGCUGUGUUCAAACAACAUUUAGCAGAUUUCCUGCUUCUGGGGUUUAUUUGUAGAUCAACAAAUUCAUAAAAUAUGUUUAUCUACAUCAUGGGAUACCACUCAGCUCAAUGUACGUCUGUACUUACAUGCACAUAAAUGUAUGUUUAAUGCUAAAGCUCUUAUGAGGGGCACUUCAGUACAAGCACCAGUGCUUAGUCAUACUUUAGCCAUCCUGAAAUAGACGAAGACAACAUUCCUUCAUCAUGGCGUUGAUGACCUUUUUGUACAGACUAUCCGCACUGUGCCAAAAACACCAUUUGGUAUUUUUGUUUGUGCAUGAGAGAGGGAGGGUGAUGGUGAGAUGAAGAAAGAUCUUGGGUAUGCUUUCUCAUUACUCAUUCCUCUGCAGGGGUGAAAAAGCUGUUUUUUCCUGUUAUGUUGUCAGAGCUUCCAGUUUGGUAAUAAAGCAGAUUUUCUCGUACAUGUGGGAUUGCCCAUUCAGAAAAUCACAUACAUGUAUUUAGCUACUUCCUUCUUGUUCAGUGCAUGUGCAUGUAAAAAUGCCCAUUCAUCACUGGACAACUAUUCAAGUAAUCUAUAACUCUGUAAAAUGACAGAAUUGACCUAGAAGAGAGCAACAACAUUCAGCAGGAGCUGAAAAAAAGAGCAAUAAGCUACAAAGCAAAACCGACAUCCUUAACAAUGUCUGAAAAGCCAGCGUUUUCUCGUCACACUUUUGGCUUUAUUUUUAAACACAGUCUUGAGUGCCUGACUCAGACAGUUCGAUCGAUUCGCAGGUAGUCGAUUGCGCCACUCACAUGUUCACCCUUAUGAUAAUAGGCCCUUUUAGAGUCAUCUAAUUCUGAUGAUAAAUUGGACUUCCAUAGUAAGCCAAAAAAGGAGUUACUGUGGUAACCGCGUGGCCUGUCAAUCACUUGCAAUCAGCCUUUUUUCUCUGUUCAUUGCUUGAUGCGUCAAGAUUAGGACCUUCUCCGUGGGGGGCUUCAAAACACUCAGGAAAUGAAGAACCGUGUGGAAGUUCUACGGCUGAUGUUUGGAAACUUUGCAGAAUGUGACCCUUUGGCUUUGGCUUACUUGCAGCUGAGAGGAGCUGAAACUUGACUUUUGUGGUGACGUGUGGGCACCAAUUAAUACACACAAAACCCUUUGUCUUGUAGCUGUAACAAAACAUUUUCAAAAAUACAACUGCGCGCUAACCUCUUGUUUGAAACCUCUACAGUGUCUUCAUCAGCUACAGAGACAGCAUGUGUUUCUGACCACAGAGGCUCAUAAUGAAAUGCCCACAUUAUGAAUAGAAGGCCAUUUAAAUGCUAAUGCUUUCCAUGUAUAAAGGGUAGGUAAGGGUUGUAAACAUUGUACUGUAUGCCAUGGAGAUAAUGACAAUCUUAAAUGCAAAAACAUUAGAAUCUGUUUCUAAUAAAAAUCAGACAAAAAACAUGAAACAUAA